CGGUAGUUAUGUGACACAUGA
This 21-nucleotide unclassified non-coding RNA is filed under the name Mus musculus (house mouse). Its description in RNAcentral is "oocyte_clustered_small_RNA11818". The record is from RNAcentral. Lineage: Eukaryota; Metazoa; Chordata; Mammalia; Rodentia; Muridae.